This 490-nucleotide ribosomal RNA is filed under the name uncultured bacterium. Its description in RNAcentral is "partial 16S ribosomal RNA". It matches the Rfam family "Bacterial small subunit ribosomal RNA", at positions 30 to 507 of the family's 1533-position model. The record is from RNAcentral.
AUUGAACGCUGGCGGCAGGCCUAACACAUGCAAGUCGAACGGUAACAGGGAUCAGCUUGCUGAUUCGCUGACGAGUGGCGGACGGGUGAGUAAUGUCUGGGAAACUGCCUGAUGGAGGGGGAUAACUACUGGAAACGGUAGCUAAUACCGCAUAACGUCGCAAGACCAAAGAGGGGGACCUUCGGGCCUCUUGCCAUCGGAUGUGCCCAGAUGGGAUUAGCUAGUAGGUGGGGUAACGGCUCACCUAGGCGACGAUCCCUAGCUGGUCUGAGAGGAUGACCAGCCACACUGGAACUGAGACACGGUCCAGACUCCUACGGGAGGCAGCAGUGGGGAAUAUUGCACAAUGGGCGCAAGCCUGAUGCAGCCAUGCCGCGUGUAUGAAGAAGGCCUUCGGGUUGUAAAGUACUUUCAGCGGGGAGGAAGGGAGUAAGGUUAAUACCUUUGCUCAUUGACGUUACCCGCAGAAGAAGCACCGGCUAACUCCGUG